CCACUUUGACAAUAUUUACUUAAGUAUUUCCCCCCACCUCACUCACACACAUGCUCCCCCACACUGGUUCCCUUAAAUAGUUCCAGUAGAAUUUUUUUUUUCCCUUAAGAAAGGAAAGAGAAAGUCCAACCACUACGGCAAUACUUUUAAGCUCUACUAAAUGAUCGUAUCCUUUCUGGCUUCGAAACUUUUGUACCUAAAAAUCGAGAGAGGCGCUGCAUUUUUUCAGUUGAAACUGUCAAAACUUGGAGAAGGGGGACCUCGGAGGCAGGCAGGAGAGGAGGAGAAUCCUGAAAACUCGGUGGAGGUUGGGAAGAUGCUGUGCCUCGAGGAUUAGUUUAAACAGGGGGCUAUAAAAGAUGUAACAGAUGCAAACUGUAACACAAGGGCCAUUAACCCUUUCUCUGCCGGGCACACUCAGUCCCCACGCCCCACACCUAUUGUCUCCUGUGCUAGAAGCUUUGCAGAAAACCUGGAAAGGGAAAUCCUGAAAUAAAGAAAUGGUCACACAAGUGUCUGGGAUGAAACAGCUGGCCUGUCUAUAUUCAUCCUGAGACACACGACUGCAUAUAAAUACAUGUUUAAUAAAGUAUUUGCCAAGUCCUAAUUGCUGAAUAUAAUGAAUUGGAACUAGAUGCGAAAAUAGAGCAGGACCUCUCCCCUUGAUGAGUUUUUAUUCCAGCCAUAUAAUUCUCAAUAAAACUUUUCCUGGGCUGGAUAGCAAAGGACACCUUUGGUUACCUGAAUGAACAGUUUUGGCCAGAAAUGGUGAGAAGAAAAAGCAUGAAGAAGCCGCGAAGUGUGGGGGAGAAAAAGGUGGAAGCGAAGAAACAGCUCCCGGAGCAAACUGUACAAAAACCUCGCCAAGAGUGUCGGGAGGCAGGACCGUUAUUCCUGCAGAGCAGGAGAGAGACGAGAGACCCUGAAACACGCGCCACCUAUCUUUGUGGGGAGGGAUAAUUGAAGCGCCCUGAGCGUACCAGAGCCAGAAAAAAAAAUGCUGCAUGGGAGCUGCAUCUUAGGGCAUGUGUAUUAGGGUGUGUGCAUGAUGAAUUUCUGGACUGGAUCCCAAUAUUAAAAAGUAGUUUGGCAUUUUAAUAAAGGGUCUCUAAGUAAAUUAAAAUAGAACACUCGGUUGGCCGAUCUCUGAAUCUCUCUACACCUCGGGGAGACCUCACUACAAAGUAAGGGAGAGUGUGUAGGGAGGCAGGAGGAGAAACGAGAAAGGCCAUAGAGAAACUUAGCAGGGAAGGGAGAGCAUGAUAUUAAACGGCAUGGGGUCUAAGUUUUGGAGUAUAUAUUUUUUGAUAUUACAAUUAAAGUAAGAUUAAAAAGAAAAGACUCCACCUUUGCUCUGAAGGGAUUGGUUAUGCAAAUAUGGAAGGGAUUUCCUGGAGAAUACAGCUUUCUACUGUAUGGUUAAUUAAAUAAUCACUCAAAAGCUUCCAACGUGACGCUUCUGUCGUAAUCCAAUCAGGUUACAUAGGUCCUAAACAAGAAAGAUAUUUUCCACAUCUGGAAGUCAGCAAUUUAGCAAGUACUGCACAUUAUUAACCAAUUCAGAGCCCACUUCCCAGGGGAAUUUUUUUGAAGUUUAAGUGUUCUUAACCAAUGCUCUGCUGUUUUGUUAAUCAAAAAGCUGGUUUACACUGCACAUAAUUGGAACUAAUAUAGAAGUAAAUAAAGACAGCCAAAUUUGA
This 1700-nucleotide long non-coding RNA is filed under the name Homo sapiens (human). RNAcentral's name for it is "PREDICTED lncRNA (TCONS_00151645)". The stretch from base 351 to 478 matches the Rfam family "ZEB2 antisense RNA 1 conserved region 1". The record is from RNAcentral. Lineage: Eukaryota; Metazoa; Chordata; Mammalia; Primates; Hominidae.